UACGUAGGGGGCAAGCGUUGUCCGGAAUCAUUGGGCGUAAAGCGCACGUAGGCGGCCCUGUAAGUCCGUUGUGAAAGUCAAAGGCUCAACCUUUGAAUGCCGAUGGAUACUGCAGGGCUAGAGUCCGGAAGAGGCGAGUGGAAUUCCUGGUGUAGCGGUGGAAUGCGCAGAUAUCAGGAGGAACACCAAUAGCGAAGGCAGCUCGCUGGGACGGUACUGACGCUAAGGUGCGAAAGCGUGGGGAGCGAACAGG
Molecule: ribosomal RNA, 253 nt
Filed under: uncultured bacterium
Lineage: Bacteria
Description: partial 16S ribosomal RNA
Rfam family: Bacterial small subunit ribosomal RNA
Source: RNAcentral